GACGAACGCUGGCGGCGUGCUUAACACAUGCAAGUCGAACGGAAAGGCCCUGCUUUUGUGGGGUGCUCGAGUGGCGAACGGGUGAGUAACACGUGAGUAACCUGCCCUUGACUUUGGGAUAACUUCAGGAAACUGGGGCUAAUACCGGAUAGGAGCUCCUGCUGCAUGGUGGGGGUUGGAAAGUUUCGGCGGUUGGGGAUGGACUCGCGGCUUAUCAGCUUGUUGGUGGGGUAGUGGCUUACCAAGGCUUUGACGGGUAGCCGGCCUGAGAGGGUGACCGGCCACAUUGGGACUGAGAUACGGCCCAGACUCCUACGGGAGGCAGCAGUGGGGAAUAUUGCACAAUGGGCGGAAGCCUGAUGCAGCAACGCCGCGUGCGGGAUGACGGCCUUCGGGUUGUAAACCGCUUUCGCCUGUGACGAAGCGUGAGUGACGGUAAUGGGUAAAGAAGCACCGGCUAACUACGUGCCAGCAGCCACGGUGAUACGUAGGGUGCGAGCGUUGUCCGGAUUUAUUGGGCGUAAAGGGCUCGUAGGUGGUUGAUCGCGUCGGAAGUGUAAUCUUGGGGCUUAACCCUGAGCGUGCUUUCGAUACGGGUUGACUUGAGGAAGGUAGGGGAGAAUGGAAUUCCUGGUGGAGCGGUGGAAUGCGCAGAUAUCAGGAGGAACACCAGUGGCGAAGGCGGUUCUCUGGGCCUUUCCUGACGCUGAGGAGCGAAAGCGUGGGGAGCGAACAGGCUUAGAUACCCUGGUAGUCCACGCUGUAAACGGUGGGUACUAGGUGUGGGGUCCAUUCCACGGGUUCCGUGCCGUAGCUAACGCUUUAAGUACCCCGCCUGGGGAGUACGGCCGCAAGGCUAAAACUCAAAGGAAUUGACGGGGCCCCGCACAAGCGGCGGAGCAUGCGGAUUAAUUCGAUGCAACGCGUAGAACCUUACCUGGGUUUGACAUGGAUCGGGAGUGCUCAGAGAUGGGUGUGCCUCUUUUGGGGUCGGUUCACAGGUGGUGCAUGGCUGUCGUCAGCUCGUGUCGUGAGAUGUUGGGUUAAGUCCCGCAACGAGCGCAACCCUUGUUCACUGUUGCCAGCACGUUAUGGUGGGGACUCAGUGGAGACCGCCGGGGUCAACUCGGAGGAAGGUGGGGAUGACGUCAAGUCAUCAUGCCCCUUAUGUCCAGGGCUUCACGCAUGCUACAAUGGCUGGUACAGAGAGUGGCGAGCCUGUGAGGGUGAGCGAAUCUCGGAAAGCCGGUCUCAGUUCGGAUUGGGGUCUGCAACUCGACCUCAUGAAGUCGGAGUCGCUAGUAAUCGCAGAUCAGCAACGCUGCGGUGAAUACGUUCCCGGGGCUUGUACACACCGCCCGUCAAGUCAUGAAAGUUGGUAACACCCGAAGCCGGUGGCCUAACCGAUUGUGGGGGAGCCGUCGAAGGUGGGACUGGUGAUUAGGACUAAA
RNAcentral lists this ribosomal RNA (1451 nucleotides) under uncultured organism. RNAcentral describes it as "partial small subunit ribosomal RNA". It matches the Rfam family "Bacterial small subunit ribosomal RNA". The record is from RNAcentral.